RNAcentral lists this ribosomal RNA (274 nucleotides) under Enterobacter hormaechei. Its description in RNAcentral is "partial 23S ribosomal RNA". It matches the Rfam family "Bacterial large subunit ribosomal RNA", at positions 1 to 267 of the family's 2925-position model. The record is from RNAcentral. Lineage: Bacteria; Pseudomonadati; Pseudomonadota; Gammaproteobacteria; Enterobacterales; Enterobacteriaceae.
GGGUUGUGAGGUUAAGCGACUAAGCGUACACGGUGGAUGCCCUGGCAGUCAGAGGCGAUGAAGGACGUGCUAAUCUGCGAAAAGCGCCGGCGAGGUGAUAUGAACCCUUGACCCGGCGAUGUCCGAAUGGGGAAACCCAGUGUGUUCCGACACACUAUCGUUAACUGAAUACAUAGGUUAACGAGGCGAACCGGGGGAACUGAAACAUCUAAGUACCCCGAGGAAAAGAAAUCAACCGAGAUUCCCCCAGUAGCGGCGAGCGAACGGGGAGCAG